GGAAGGAUCAUUAACACAUACGUCCAUUUGAAGGUUAGGCGUGCCAUCGCUCUUGGAGGUUUACACCUCUAAUACUUGUCGGCCGGCCGCCUAAUCUUUCAAACCCCUUAGCAAACUAGGUUGAAGUCCAUAUUCUUAUUUAAUCAAACCUUGAUUCAAAUGGAAUAGGAGUGAAAACUUAAAAGUUGAUUUAUCACGCUCAAUAUCUGUUCCCUCUCUCGAGGGCUUCCGAUAUUCGACUGAUGUUUUAACAAACACAAAAUAAUAUAUAUACAAACCAAGACAACUUGUAACAGUGGAUACCUUGGUUCCCAGGUCGAUGAAGAGCGCAGCGAACUGCGAUAAGUCAUGUGAAUUGCAGAAUUCCGUGAAUCAUCGAACUCUUGAACGCAAAUUGCACUUAGGUGUUGAGCCUAAGUGUGCCUGCUCGAGUGUCGGCAAUAAAUCCUCAACGCAUACUCUGUGUUGAAAGUGAGAGUUCAAUUUUUUUGGUUGAUCUCUUUAAAAGGAUGGACGCUGAUAUCGUAAUCGAGCACACUGGUGAAAUAUUACACAGUAGUGUUGAUCAGAUUGCAAUAAUUAAUCAGAAUAAAUUAAGGUCUUUAUUGAUCACAAUUCUAUUCUCGAUUAGCCGAUCUCAUUGAGCAUUUAUUGUUCCAGUGUGUCUUCGAGAUAUUAGGAGAUAAACAGUCUUCUCGUCCGAGUGCAGCAAUUGCACGACGACAAAUUUCUCAAAAUCUCGACCUCGAAUUAGGCAAGAUCACCCGGUGGACUUAAGCAUAUUAUUAACCGGAGGAAAAGAAACUAACAAGGAUGCCCUUAGUAACGGCGAGUGAAGCGGGCAGAGCUCAAAUUUAAAAUCUGGGAUCCUUAUGGGUCCCCGAAUUGUAGUUUUUGGAUCGUUAGUCACGGAAAUGUUAGCGUGGGAGUAAGUUCUUUGGAACAAGGCGUCAGAGAGGGUGAGAACCCCGUAUGCGUCCCCGCUAGCAAAUCAACAGGUGACUGGCUUUUCACGAGUCGGGUUGUUUGGGAUUGCAGCCCUAAAUAGGUGGUAGAUCUCAUCUAAAGCUAAAUAUUCCUGGGAGACCGAUAGCGAAGAAGUAGUGUGAACGAAAGGUGAAAAGAACUUUGAAAAGAAGGUGAAAAGUACUUGAAGCUGUUCCAAGGGAACCGUAGCUUAGCAGUGACUGCAUGCUGGCAAUUCAGCGCACUGCGUGCUCGCGUGUCGGAUGCCUGGAGGUGUACGCCCCAGAGUGCUGAGCGCUGGGUACGUUGUGUGUGUACUUUGCUAGUGUGCGAGUCAACAUCAGUUCGGUCGUGCCGGAGAAAGGCGGGGGGAAGGUAGGUCGGCCUCUCGGGGUCGUCUGUUAUAGCCCUCUGUUGCAUACGGCGCGCUGGACUGAGGAAGCAAAACGCAUGCCUCGGCGAGGUAGUUGGUGGACCCGUGGGCUGUGAGUGCGUACGUCUGCUUGCAGGGUGCGUGCUCGAUGGCUCCGGCGAAGCUAACCCAUCGGUGCGUUAGGGAUGUUGACGAAAUGCUAUUCUAUGACCCGUCUUGAAACACGGACCAAGGAGUCUAACAUGUAUGCGAGUAUUUGGGUGGAAAACCCGAGUGCGCAAUGAAAGUGAGCGAUGCGAGUUCGUAAGGAUGCAGCAUCGGCCGACUGUUCUUAGGAGCGGAUCGUGCCGGAGCACACAUGAUGGGACCCGAAAGAUGGUGAACUUUGCGUGCGCAGGGUGAAGCCAGAGGAAACUCUGGUGGAGGCUCGUAGAGAUACUGACGUGCAAAUCGUUCUUCUGACGUGCGUAAAGGGGCGAAAGACUAAUCGAACCAUCUAGUAGCUGGUUUACAC
This 1853-nucleotide unclassified non-coding RNA is filed under the name uncultured fungus. Its description in RNAcentral is "sequence contains 18S rRNA gene, ITS1, 5.8S rRNA gene, ITS2, 28S rRNA gene". The stretch from base 741 to 1853 matches the Rfam family "Eukaryotic large subunit ribosomal RNA", at positions 1 to 961 of the family's 3401-position model. The record is from RNAcentral. Lineage: Eukaryota; Fungi.